GACGAACGCUGGCGGCGUGCUUAACACAUGCAAGUCGAACGGAAAGGCCCUGCUUUUGUGGGGUGCUCGAGUGGCGAACGGGUGAGUAACACGUGAGUAACCUGCCCUUGACUCUGGGAUAACUUCAGGAAACUGGGGCUAAUACCGGAUAGGAGCUCCUGCUGCAUGGUGGGGGUUGGAAAGUUUCGGCGGUUGGGGAUGGACUCGCGGCUUAUCGGCUUGUUGGUGGGGUAGUGGCUUACCAAGGCUUUGACGGGUAGCCGGCCUGAGAGGGUGACCGGCCACAUUGGGACUGAGAUACGGCGCAGACUCCUACGGGAGGCAGCAGUGGGGAGUAUUGCACAGUGGGCGGAAGCCUGAUGCAGCGACGCCGGGUGCGGGAUGACGGCCUUCGGGUUGUAAACCGCUUUCGCCUGGGACGAAGCGUGAGUGACGGUAAUGGGUAAAGAAGCACCGGCUAACUACGUG
This 468-nucleotide ribosomal RNA is filed under the name uncultured bacterium. Its description in RNAcentral is "partial 16S ribosomal RNA". It matches the Rfam family "Bacterial small subunit ribosomal RNA", at positions 28 to 507 of the family's 1533-position model. The record is from RNAcentral.